AAGAGAUGGCGACCGGCGCACGGGUGAGUAACACGUAUCCAACCUGCCGAUAACUCCGGAAUAGCCUUUCGAAAGAAAGAUUAAUACCGGAUGGCAUACGAAUAUCGCAUGAUAUUUUUAUUAAAGAAUUUCGGUUAUCGAUGGGGAUGCGUUCCAUUAGUUUGUUGGCGGGGUAACGGCCCACCAAGACUACGAUGGAUAGGGGUUCUGAGAGGAAGGUCCCCCACAUUGGGACUGAGACACGGUCCAA
Molecule: ribosomal RNA, 250 nt
Filed under: uncultured bacterium
Lineage: Bacteria
Description: partial 16S ribosomal RNA
Rfam family: Bacterial small subunit ribosomal RNA
Source: RNAcentral